CGAGGUAGCUCAUUCGGUAGAGCAAAGGACUGAAAAUCCUUGUGUAGGCGGUUCGAUUCCGUCCCUCGGC
RNAcentral lists this transfer RNA (70 nucleotides) under marine eukaryotic metagenome. It matches the Rfam family "tRNA". Rfam says of the family: Transfer RNA (tRNA) molecules are approximately 80 nucleotides in length. The record is from RNAcentral.